RNAcentral lists this transfer RNA (65 nucleotides) under Dipodomys ordii (Ord's kangaroo rat). It matches the Rfam family "tRNA". Rfam says of the family: Transfer RNA (tRNA) molecules are approximately 80 nucleotides in length. Their secondary structure includes four short double-helical elements and three loops (D, anti-codon, and T loops). Lineage: Eukaryota; Metazoa; Chordata; Mammalia; Rodentia; Heteromyidae. The record is from Rfam by way of RNAcentral.
GGUGGCUCAGUGGCAGAGUGCUUGCCUUGCAUGCAUGAAGCCCUGGGUUCAAUUCCUCAGCACCA